GCGAAAUCGGAAAGUAACUGAAAUACUUCUCUGAUGGAUUACAUCUACUAAGGGACAACCCAUCCUAAAUGCUCAAUUAUUCAGGGACAAUGUACACUCAUUCCUAUAUUUGCUUUCUAAAAUCAACUCUCUGUAUAACUUUUCAUGAGUGAUGUACCCGAGUAUUCAGAUUCUAAUAUCUAAAUUAAGGGUCAGCAACCUUU
Molecule: long non-coding RNA, 203 nt
Organism: Chelonia mydas (Green sea turtle)
Lineage: Eukaryota; Metazoa; Chordata; Testudines; Cheloniidae
Exons: 3
Source: RefSeq, a predicted model, not a curated record